This 252-nucleotide unclassified non-coding RNA is filed under the name uncultured Drechslera. RNAcentral describes it as "sequence contains ITS2". The stretch from base 1 to 52 matches the Rfam family "5.8S ribosomal RNA", at positions 103 to 154 of the family's 154-position model. Lineage: Eukaryota; Fungi; Ascomycota; Dothideomycetes; Pleosporales; Pleosporaceae. The record is from RNAcentral.
AACGCACAUUGCGCCCUUUGGUAUUCCAAAGGGCAUGCCUGUUCGAGCGUCAUUUGUACCCUCAAGCUUUGCUUGGUGUUGGGCGUUUUUGUCUCUGGUCCGCCAGCGACUCGCCUUAAAAUCAUUGGCAGCCGGCCUACUGGUUUCGGAGCGCAGCACAAAUUUGCGCUUCUUCCAGCAGCGGUCCGCGUCCAUGAAGCCACUUUUUCAACGUUUGACCUCGGAUCAGGUAGGGAUACCCGCUGAACUUAA